RNAcentral lists this long non-coding RNA (923 nucleotides) under Struthio camelus australis. RNAcentral describes it as "lncRNA (ENSSCUG00000014020.1)". The record is from RNAcentral. Lineage: Eukaryota; Metazoa; Chordata; Aves; Struthioniformes; Struthionidae.
GGGGUGAGCGAGGUGGUGGGGAUGGUUGCUAGGAAGGACCAUGGGAAUUCUUUAUUUUUCUUUCUUUCUUCUUUUUUUUUUUUUCCCCCUGUUCACUCCCCCCUCUUCUCUCCCCCUGGCUAGAGAGUGCAAGACGCUAGUCACUUCCAAAGGUGGAUUGAUGCCUGCUGAUAUCUUUAGAGGGUGGCUGGCCGGCAUUCAUACCUACAUGCAUGGCUUUCACCUUGGGGUACCAGAUUUUGAGCAGUGAAUAUUCUGAGCAUUUUGUUACUACCAAAAAAGGAGUCCAGCAAAGAGUGAAAUCCUUGAAGGUAGUCUUGCAAUGAAGAAUUUGUUGUCUCAGUAGUUGAGAUUCUUUUGGUCCUUUUUUCAACAGAAGAAGACCAAGUCAGAAAGUGAUUGGGCCUUCAGGAAGAUAGUUGUUAACUGUUUCCAGUAUACGGCUGGCAAAAUCACCUUUUCAGGAAAGUGAAAUCAAGAACUUUCUCUUCUCUCUCUGCUAAAAUACUACUAAAGGUUAUUAAAGACCUCAGCAAUGAAAAUUCUCCUGAAAGAAGAGGACAGAACUUCAAAGGAAAAUGAAAUUCCUGAUUGUACCUGUGGCUCCUCUCUCAAAGCCUGGAAGGAAGGUGGUCAUUUGCCCAGUCCAGUGGGGGCACGAGAGUCAUGAGCCCCCGCGACCACCCUCGCACCAGCUCCUCACAGCACAACCGGCUCCAUUCUCAUGGGCAAACGCAUCCGAAGACGUCCGGUGUGGACAGUGCGGAAGGGUGGAGCUGCCGGCCUCGCCGACUCAGCAGCGUUUCUGCGCUGUAGUAAAACUGCUACCUGGACGCGGGCGCUGUGGGAAGGCGGGUGCUGGAGGUUGUUCCUGCAGCAUUGUGCCAGGCUGCAAAACCCAGCAGCUGGAUGGUGUCUGUUAA